CAGCCUUUGACCCAGCAGUUGCUCUCCGGGGACUCUUUGCAGAGGAAAUGAGCAGGAAGACCCAGACAUUGAGCUGUCGGCGUUGGCUACAAGCAGUACAGUGCCAGGUAAACUGGCCAUUGGAAACAGGCAGUGUAGGCCGUGUCAUCAGAGAGUCCUUCCUGCCGUGAGUUUCCACAACUCUGCCAUGUGAUCCCUGGUUCCUGUCGCACCCUGCGUGGGUCCGGCUGUGCAGGACAUGUGCUCUGGGCCUGAGGAGGAGGUACAUCUGGCUGGAGCUUUCCUUUGGUCUGGAAGCCCUUGGUGGGUCUCCCGUAAACGCCCCGGGAAUGCCCCGAAAGGUCCAGGCUGCCCACCCUCCACACCGCACACACUGUCUCUGCCACCUGGACCCGCCUGGCUCUCCUCUGACCGGUGGAUUUCUCCUCUCUCCAAGUUAGACCCAAACACC
Molecule: long non-coding RNA, 451 nt
Organism: Rhinolophus ferrumequinum (greater horseshoe bat)
Lineage: Eukaryota; Metazoa; Chordata; Mammalia; Chiroptera; Rhinolophidae
Exons: 3
Source: RefSeq, a predicted model, not a curated record